AAAACCAGGUUUUUCGUUCCCGUGAUCGAGAUACUAGGUUUUUCGAUUCGAUAAACCUGGUAUCUCAAAGUAAAUUUUGGAAAAACUUGGUAUUUCGGUCGAGAUUCAAGGUUUCUAAAAAAUACACCAGUGGAUGGAUAAUAAUCCAGUGUAGUGAUGCAUAUCUAUUUCGACUAAGUUAGGUUCCGCAAAGUACACCAUUGACAUCUUGUUCAAUGCAGCAAUGACUUUUUGCUAAAAAAAACCCUGCAAAAGCAGGUUUUGUUUAUACUUUCAUUUACCACUACGAGACAGUGAUAUUGAAGCUAGGAGAGAGAGAGAGAGGAUCCUAGCUAGAGGCAGGCAGUAUAUUUUGGGAGUUGUCGUAUUGUAUGAACUAAAAAGAGCAAUGCAUGUCAUUAUCAUAUGGAGUAGAUACAAAUGACUAAAGGAGUUAUUUUUAAAUCAAUAUGAAAAAUACCUGUUACUGUGUAAGAAAAUACUGUACUUGAAAAAUUUGUAUUUUCAUAACCUUGUUAUAAUUUUAUUAUAUUCCAUUUAUUUAAAA
This is a long non-coding RNA of Hydractinia symbiolongicarpus, 547 nucleotides long. RefSeq lists it as uncharacterized. The transcript has 2 exons. The record is from RefSeq and is a predicted model, not a curated record. NCBI's taxonomy places the organism in Eukaryota, Metazoa, Cnidaria, Hydrozoa, Anthoathecata, Hydractiniidae.